This 319-nucleotide long non-coding RNA is filed under the name Panax ginseng (ginseng). RNAcentral's name for it is "long non-coding RNA (PGIN_LNC016089)". The record is from RNAcentral. Lineage: Eukaryota; Viridiplantae; Streptophyta; Magnoliopsida; Apiales; Araliaceae.
AAUACUUGUUCAGUCAAAAGUUUGUUCAUGCUAAUUCACAACUACAUUGUGAAUUAUAGCCAGCUUAUUAUUCAGACUCUUUAAAUCAUGAUAUAUCCUUAAAUUGUAUUUAAACUUGCUGGGCAACUUUCAUGCUCACCCUUGCUAUAUCAUGAUAAAACAUUGCAGAUUAAGGUGAAUGCGUUGGAUACAAUGGAAUUUAAAGACAGUUCCAGCUUAAAGUUAAUGUGCGCGAUUAGUUUUGUAAUAGUCUUGUAUGAUAAUGAUGUCAUAUGUUAGAUAAGUUAUGAAUUGUGUAUAAGUUAUGGUUACUCGACCU